AUGUUUGUUCGUUUACUAGACAGUAUGCUACCAUGUUCUAUCAUGCGUACAAUUUGUGUGUGUGCCGUCUACCGUGUAACACUGUGUGUUACUUGUCCCAUUUUGUUUGUGCCAGUGCCUUUAAAUGUAUAUGUACUAAAGUUAGUCGAGUACAGUUACUAUCGAAUGGCACAACAUUUUGAUGCCUUACGGUUAAAAAGCUUAUAUCCUUUUGGUGUUUGCAAGGGGUCUGCUUGUGUUGCAUUUUCUACACCUGAGAAAGCAUCUCAGGCUGUAAGUUUGCAUAGCCUGAUUGUACUAUAUGUACUUAUGUUGCAUUUAUGA
This 324-nucleotide ribosomal RNA is filed under the name Triticum aestivum (bread wheat). RNAcentral's name for it is "partial small subunit ribosomal RNA". Lineage: Eukaryota; Viridiplantae; Streptophyta; Magnoliopsida; Poales; Poaceae. The record is from RNAcentral.